CAAUAGCGUAUAUUAAAGUUGUUGCAGUUAAAAAGCUCGUAGUUGGAUUUCGGGGCAGCCUGGCUGGUCCGCCGCAAGGCGAGUACUGGUCAGCCGCCCUUCCUCUCGAAAGCCCCGACUGCUCUUUAUUGCAGUGGUCGGGUAGUUCGGGACGUUUACUUUGAAAAAAUUAGAGUGUUCAAGGCAGGCCUACGCCUGAAUACAUUAGCAUGGAAUAAUGGAAGAGGACCUCGGUCCUAUUUUGUUGGUUUCCAGGACCGAAGUAAUGAUUAAGAGGGACAGUCGGGGGCAUUCGUAUUUAAUUGUCAGAGGUGAAAUUCUCGGAUUUAUGUAAGACGAACAACUGCGAAAGCAUUUGCCAAGGAUGUUUUCAUUAA
This 377-nucleotide ribosomal RNA is filed under the name uncultured eukaryote. Its description in RNAcentral is "partial 18S ribosomal RNA". It matches the Rfam family "Eukaryotic small subunit ribosomal RNA", at positions 592 to 976 of the family's 1831-position model. The record is from RNAcentral.